UUCGCAAGGCAUGCUGGGUAUGCUACCCUUCCUUUUUUGGCGGUUUUACUUCGUAGUAACUUUCCAGAAAAACGAAAGGGUUAUGAUGAGAGAUUAUGUCAUACCCUGGCACAUGCUUUGUCCAAUGGACCAUGGAAGGGACUUUACUUGGCUGACGAGGACGCACCUCACCAGUAACAGAGCAACAGCUGUGGGGUG
Long non-coding RNA from Gadus chalcogrammus (walleye pollock), 198 nucleotides. RefSeq lists it as uncharacterized. Lineage: Eukaryota; Metazoa; Chordata; Actinopteri; Gadiformes; Gadidae. The record is from RefSeq and is a predicted model, not a curated record. The transcript is spliced from 3 exons.